CCUGCGGAGAGAUGGCGGUGGCCCCAGGUCGGGGCCCACGGCGGGUACGGUUGGCGCCCGCCCCGCGCCCCGCCCCUCCCGGGAGCAGCCCCCGGCCCGGUAGCUCCCUGACCGCCCUGGGACUCACGGCGUGACUCCGUGUAUUGUGGGCAAGGAAGUGAACCGGGCUCAGCCCGUUGAAGGAACUGGCCUGCGAUGACGCGGCCUGGAUCAGAACCAGCAAGAAAGACCUUGAAGGGCAGAGGAAAUUCUUCCAACAGUUGACACAGUCAGCAGGACACUUUAACUUGCUGGACAUGACUGCAACUGAAGUCCUUGGGACAUCUGACAUACAGCCAGCAGAAGGACACAAUUGGAAACAUUUGUCAUGUAACCAAGGCUUUGACUGGAGUGUCCUAUUUGAGAGAGAUGCAUAACCUCAGCUAUGACCAGACAGCUUGAAGGAACCAGGUUAACUUUAAGAAGCCAGUAAAGCCCCCAGAAGUACCAGUUUGUUACCCUGCUUACAGAGUUCCCAGCUGCCUUACCAACUUCUACGUUGGAUUUAUCCGAGAACUAAGAAGCCCUACAAACUUAACUUAGUAAACUUCCGAGAAAUCACCACAACAGCUCUCCUAUAGGCAAUCUUCAUGCCUGUUGCUCUGUGGGCCACUCAAAACGAUCACCAGAGACAUUUGAACUACAAACCAGGAAAAUCCGUCAGACUGCCACUGCGCACUAAAGAUGGUUCAAGCUUAACAUCUAAAAAUCAUCUUGACUAACCUCAAAAUUCAGAAAUUGGUUUAUAAUUUGAUCCAAUCAGUAACCAGUGUUUUUGUUUCCACAGAAAUGCCUCUUAUUUAAUACCUGAUUGCUUGAACCUUAGGCCUAACUUGCAUCACUGCCUCCCGAAAUGAGUCUGAACUGACCUAUGGCCAGGACUGGUUCAAUAAGACCAAACAAGCGGCUAGCUCAAUUUUAAUGUGUGAAAUUUCAGGGAAGUUUCGGAGGAGGAAACUGCAGGGGCCCAGGGCAGGACACCCCAAAUGGGCCACUUUGGCAUGAACAUUAUUUUGAGUUAAAAGCAAACAAAACCCAGGAAAUUCAGGCUUCCCCCUCAACGGCCUAAAUUUACAUUGGAAGGGGGAGAGCCUGUACCAAGAAGUGACUGUUAAGAGAUUCCGCUUUACCAAAGAAACUUACCUAAGAGGACAAACUUUAUUCUCCAAACAUUUCCUCUCACCUUCCUGCUAAUGGUCUUUCUCCCCUUUGUAUCCUCAGACUCCUACCCCUUCUCCUUAGUUCAUAGAAGCCUCAUGUUGCUGGUCUUCAGAAUUUCAUGUCUGUGUGGAUUCCCCAUACAUACGAAAUUAAAUCUGAUACUCUCCUCAUCUGCCUCAUGUCAACUUGGUUCUUAGUCCAGCUAGAAGGACUUCGACGGCCAGAGAAAAUUCUUCUUUCCCGAUAUAGCAGUCCUAUAUGGUUGGAAGAAAUCCUACUUGAUCUGUUAUUUUACUAUAGUAUUAGCUAAUUUUAUAUGAGAUUCUUUGGUCUAGAAUAGUAUCUUUCCUUUUUUAUGGUACCUUUGUCAGCUUUAGGAUUAUCUUAGCCUCUCCUAAUAUGCAUGUUUUUAGUUAAAUAAUUUCAAAUUCCAGGGAUCUUUCUCACCAUCAUCACUCCUUUCUAAAUGAAAACGAAGCUUGUCAAUUAUUCCAAAAAGCACACAAGUAAUCCUUGCAUUAAAGCAUGUAAAAGCAUGUAAAAUGUAAUCGAUUACGACUCUGUUUAAUAAAGAAAUGCAUAUAUCAAUUAAAAUUCAUCACACUCUGGAUGUCCAAAAAAAGUAGUACCCUUAAUUGAUAAUAUGACUCUACCAUCUAGUUUUUUAAGCCAACAGUAAGCUCUUUAACAACAUAAAAAUCAAGUCUGAAAAUUCAAAGGAAAGCCCUCUGAGAAUGCAGGAAACCUGUUUCCAGCCAAGCCCGAAACCCCUCAGGAUGGUCUGGGCCCCCUGAAGCUAAAUCCCAAUCACAUCAAAUUUC
This is a long non-coding RNA of Mirounga angustirostris (Northern elephant seal), 2021 nucleotides long. RefSeq lists it as uncharacterized. The record is from RefSeq and is a predicted model, not a curated record. The transcript is spliced from 4 exons. Lineage: Eukaryota; Metazoa; Chordata; Mammalia; Carnivora; Phocidae.